GAUGAACGCUAGCGGGAGGCUUAAUACAUGCAAGUCGAACGGUAACGAUGGGCUUCGGCCCAGGCGACGAGUGGCGCACGGGUGAGUAACGCGUACACAACCUACCUAUAAGAGGGGGAUAGCCACUGGAAACGGUGAAUAAUACCCCAUAGUAUUGAUUUUAUGAUAUAUGAUCAAUUAAAGCUCCGGCGCUUAUAGAUGGGUGUGCGUCCGAUUAGCUAGUUGGUAAGGUAACGGCUUACCAAGGCGACGAUUGGUAGGGGGCGUGAGAGCGUGACCCCCCACACGGGUACUGAGACACGGACCCGACUCCUACGGGAGGCAGCAGUAAGGAAUAUUGGACAAUGGAGGCAACUCUGAUCCAGCCAUCCCGCGUGUAGGAAGACUGCCCUAUGGGUUGUAAACUACUUUUAGAUAGGAAGAACGGCGGAUAUUUAUAUUCGUAUGACGGUACUAUCAGAAUAAGCACCGGCUAACUCCG
Molecule: ribosomal RNA, 481 nt
Filed under: uncultured Saprospiraceae bacterium
Lineage: Bacteria; Pseudomonadati; Bacteroidota; Saprospiria; Saprospirales; Saprospiraceae
Description: bacterial SSU rRNA
Rfam family: Bacterial small subunit ribosomal RNA
Source: RNAcentral